Molecule: ribosomal RNA, 492 nt
Filed under: uncultured bacterium
Lineage: Bacteria
Description: partial 16S ribosomal RNA
Rfam family: Bacterial small subunit ribosomal RNA
Source: RNAcentral
AGUGAACGCUGGCGGUAGGCCUAACACAUGCAAGUCGAACGGCAGCACAGUAAGAGCUUGCUCUUACGGGUGGCGAGUGGCGGACGGGUGAGGAAUACAUCGGAAUCUACUUUUUCGUGGGGGAUAACGUAGGGAAACUUACGCUAAUACCGCAUACGACCUACGGGUGAAAGCAGGGGAUCUUCGGACCUUGCGCGAUUGAAUGAGCCGAUGUCGGAUUAGCUAGUUGGCGGGGUAAAGGCCCACCAAGGCGACGAUCCGUAGCUGGUCUGAGAGGACGAUCAGCCACACUGGAUCUGAGACACGGUCCAGACUCCUACGGGAGGCAGCAGUGGGGAAUAUUGGACAAUGGGCGCAAGCCUGAUCCAGCCAUACCGCGUGGGUGAAGAAGGCCUUCGGGUUGUAAAGCCCUUUUGUUGGGAAAGAAAAGCAGCAGGUUAAUACCCCGCUGUUCUGACGGUACCCAAAGAAUAAGCACCGGCUAACUUCGUG